RNAcentral lists this long non-coding RNA (1102 nucleotides) under Prunus persica (peach). Its description in RNAcentral is "long non-coding RNA (PPER_LNC005799)". Lineage: Eukaryota; Viridiplantae; Streptophyta; Magnoliopsida; Rosales; Rosaceae. The record is from RNAcentral.
GCACUGAAUUAUGUAGGAUUGAAACCAUAUAUCAGCCCUAUACAUAUGACAACCACUUUUGAUGAACUUCCAAAUGUGCAAAUAUGAAUGCAUGGAUGCAAAACAUACCUUGGCAUUGUCUUUGAGCCACAUUGAUCCAGGAUUGCAAAAUGUCACUUAAAAAAUAUAUGUUACACUCAAAAACCUACUCUAUGUUUUUGUAACAAGAAAUUGCCAAUAUACAAAAAUGGUCCUAACAAUCUCCCCUCUGGCAUUUCCUAUACAAGAACUCCAAUUACAAAAGUUGGUCAUAACAAUGUCCCCCCUAAACGAAUUAAAAGUGAAUGAAAAGAAUUCCUAACCAAAAAAAGAAAAAAGAAAAAAAAAAGACCACUUGCAAUAGAGAAGGUAACCUGAAUUCUGCACAACCAAAAAUAACCAGUAAAAAACAUGUAUGACUGGAAAUAUAAUACGUAAGUAAAAGUUGAAGUCAGAAUGUUUACUCCCCUUUUUUUGGAUAGGCAAUGGCAAACUUCCCUUCAAAGCAACAGCUACACCACAACAACAAAACAAACAAACUCCCCCUUAAAUCAAUAGCCACGGUUCUGGUUGCUAAUUGAGGAUUUUAGUCAUUUUUUGGAUUGUAUGUGAUUCUAUCCAGAUCAAUUCAACAUGUUGUUGUGUUUGGUCACUAGAGAAGAUUUACCCAUAUUCGACACCAUACGAUAUAAAUAAAUAAAAAAGAAACAGAACUGCCAAUAUGGUCUAACCCAGUGAAAAAGAGUCUUGACUUGUAGACUAAUGGUCUAAGGUUUGAAUUUUGAACUCACAUGACAUCUUGGUAGUGUGAGAAAUCCUCAUACCUCUUGUAAUUUAGAGACUAUCGCUUGUAUUAAAAAAAAAGAAAAAAAGAUAGGGUUUAGGCUUGUAGUGGUAAAGUCGAGUCCACGUAGGCUGAGGCUAGCGUAGGCUUGCGAUUGAGUCCAUCUAUCAUGCCUACUGCAACAAGCGUUUAUGCCGCCCCAAAGACCCAAUUAAUAAUGUUCAAAGUCCUUGCUUUCUCUUGCACUUCACAUUUUGUUUGAGUUCACUUUCAGUUUGUCCACGUUCAUAGUUAUUAGGU